GACGAACGCUGGCGGCGUGCUUAACACAUGCAAGUCGAACGGAAAGGCCCUGCUUUUGUGGGGGCCCCGAGUGGCGAACGGAUGGGUAACACGUGAGUAACUUGCCUUGGCCUUUGGGAUAACUACCGGAAACUGGGGCUAACACCGGCUAGGAGCUCUUGCUGCAUGGCGGGGGUGGGCAAGUUUCGGCGGUUGGGGUUGGACUGGCGGCUUAGCAGCUUGUUGGUGGGGUAGUGGCUUACCAGGGUUUUGACGGGCAGCCGGCCUGAGAGGGUGACCGGCCACAUUGGGACUGAGAUACGGCCCAGACUCCUACGGGAGGCAGCAGUGUGGAAUAUUGCACGAUGGGCGGAAGCCUGAUGCAGCAACGCCGCGUGCGGGAUGACGGCCUUCGGGUUGUAAACCGCUUUCGCCUGUGACGAAGCGUGAGUGACGGUAAUGGGUAAAGAAGCACCGGCUAACUACGUG
Molecule: ribosomal RNA, 468 nt
Filed under: uncultured bacterium
Lineage: Bacteria
Description: partial 16S ribosomal RNA
Rfam family: Bacterial small subunit ribosomal RNA
Source: RNAcentral